This 76-nucleotide transfer RNA is filed under the name Rhodanobacteraceae bacterium. RNAcentral's name for it is "tRNA-Gly". It matches the Rfam family "tRNA". Rfam says of the family: Transfer RNA (tRNA) molecules are approximately 80 nucleotides in length. Their secondary structure includes four short double-helical elements and three loops (D, anti-codon, and T loops). The record is from RNAcentral. Lineage: Bacteria; Pseudomonadati; Pseudomonadota; Gammaproteobacteria; Lysobacterales; Rhodanobacteraceae.
GCGGGUGUAGCUCAGUUGGUAGAGCGCGACCUUGCCAAGGUCGAUGUCGCGGAUUCGAGUUCCGCCACCCGCUCCA